Molecule: transfer RNA, 71 nt
Filed under: Bos taurus (domestic cattle)
Lineage: Eukaryota; Metazoa; Chordata; Mammalia; Artiodactyla; Bovidae
Also listed under: 3 other names
Rfam family: tRNA
About the family: Transfer RNA (tRNA) molecules are approximately 80 nucleotides in length. Their secondary structure includes four short double-helical elements and three loops (D, anti-codon, and T loops).
Source: Rfam by way of RNAcentral
UCCCCAGUGGCUCAUUGGUAAAGAAUCUGCCUGUAAUGCAGGAGACAGGAGUUCAACCCCUGGUUGGGGAA